UCUUUUUCAAUAAAAACAAAAAAAGAUAUUUAAAAAUAUCGGUGGCACCCGACCCAGAUAAAUCAAUUGAAAAAAGCAACUCCCAUUACAAAAUUACCCAAAAAAGGUUCUUCGAUUCUAUCUAUAAAAAAUCGGCACUUUCAGUAACCCACUUCAUCACAUAAAAAAAGGAUUAUAUUCUAAAGUUGAGUUGAGUGUUUUCAUCAAUUUUGAGUGAAACUUUUUGUGGGUAUUUGAUGAUAGUAGCUGAAUCAUGGUAAUUGGGAAGAAUUUUAAGGAUUCACUUAAGUCUCUUGAAGCUGAUAUUCAACAUGUUAAUACUCUGGGAUUAGUUGACCCUUGUGAAAUGUUCCGUCCGGGAUAAUUGCCUACAAUUAGUUUUGCAUUUCUUAAUAUUUUUUUAUUGAUAAAACUUCUCCAGAAUAUCGUUCGGUUGUUUUAACUUAUGCUUGACAAGUGAAACUCGGUCUCAGGCUCGAACUCAUUUAAGCUCGGCUUGAUUCGAGCUUUAAGCGACUAGCGAGGAGAUCUCGAGUAGUCAUGAGCGGCCCC
Molecule: long non-coding RNA, 552 nt
Filed under: Helianthus annuus (common sunflower)
Lineage: Eukaryota; Viridiplantae; Streptophyta; Magnoliopsida; Asterales; Asteraceae
Description: hypothetical non coding rna
Source: RNAcentral